UGGGGAAUAUUGCACAAUGGAGGGAACUCUGAUGCAGCGACGCCGCGUGAACGAAGAAGGCUUUCGAGUCGUAAAGUUCUUUUAUAUGGGAAGAUAAUGACGGUACCAUAAGAAAAAGCCCCGGCUAACUACGUGCCAGCAGCCGCGGUAAUACGUAGGGGGCUAGCGUUGUCCGGAAUCACUGGGCGUAAAGGGUUCGCAGGCGGAAAUGCAAGUCAGGUGUAAAAGGCAGUAGCUUAACUACUGUAAGCAUUUGAAACUGCAUAUCUUGAGAAGAGUAGAGGUAAGUGGAAUUUUUAGUGUAGCGGUGAAAUGCGUAGAUAUUAAAAAGAAUAGCGGUGGCGAAGGCGACUUACUGGGCUCAUUCUGACGCUGAGGAACGAAAGCGUGGGUAGCAAACAGG
This 403-nucleotide ribosomal RNA is filed under the name Fusobacteriota bacterium. RNAcentral's name for it is "Fusobacteria bacterium partial 16S ribosomal RNA". It matches the Rfam family "Bacterial small subunit ribosomal RNA", at positions 355 to 776 of the family's 1533-position model. Lineage: Bacteria; Fusobacteriati; Fusobacteriota. The record is from RNAcentral.